This 787-nucleotide ribosomal RNA is filed under the name Escherichia coli. RNAcentral's name for it is "partial 23S ribosomal RNA". It matches the Rfam family "Bacterial large subunit ribosomal RNA", at positions 344 to 1134 of the family's 2925-position model. Lineage: Bacteria; Pseudomonadati; Pseudomonadota; Gammaproteobacteria; Enterobacterales; Enterobacteriaceae. The record is from RNAcentral.
GGAAAGGCGCGCGAUACAGGGUGACAGCCCCGUACACAAAAAUGCACAUGCUGUGAGCUCGAUGAGUAGGGCGGGACACGUGGUAUCCUGUCUGAAUAUGGGGGGACCAUCCUCCAAGGCUAAAUACUCCUGACUGACCGAUAGUGAACCAGUACCGUGAGGGAAAGGCGAAAAGAACCCCGGCGAGGGGAGUGAAAAAGAACCUGAAACCGUGUACGUACAAGCAGUGGGAGCACGCUUAGGCGUGUGACUGCGUACCUUUUGUAUAAUGGGUCAGCGACUUAUAUUCUGUAGCAAGGUUAACCGAAUAGGGGAGCCGAAGGGAAACCGAGUCUUAACUGGGCGUUAAGUUGCAGGGUAUAGACCCGAAACCCGGUGAUCUAGCCAUGGGCAGGUUGAAGGUUGGGUAACACUAACUGGAGGACCGAACCGACUAAUGUUGAAAAAUUAGCGGAUGACUUGUGGCUGGGGGUGAAAGGCCAAUCAAACCGGGAGAUAGCUGGUUCUCCCCGAAAGCUAUUUAGGUAGCGCCUCGUGAAUUCAUCUCCGGGGGUAGAGCACUGUUUCGGCAAGGGGGUCAUCCCGACUUACCAACCCGAUGCAAACUGCGAAUACCGGAGAAUGUUAUCACGGGAGACACACGGCGGGUGCUAACGUCCGUCGUGAAGAGGGAAACAACCCAGACCGCCAGCUAAGGUCCCAAAGUCAUGGUUAAGUGGGAAACGAUGUGGGAAGGCCCAGACAGCCAGGAUGUUGGCUUAGAAGCAGCCAUCAUUUAAAGAAAGCG